UAACAUUGUACAAUCACUUAUCAGUAUUUUAUGGUGCACUUCUCUCUUUUGUUCUGUGACGACGAAUUUUUAUUUGGCAUUCAGCGGACGUAGCAAAGCGCUCACGAUACGAAGCGGUAGCGAUUCCGAUUGGGAGCGCGUUGGACAAUUGAAUUUACAAAGCCGUAACGGAAACGUCUGGUUGCACCUGCGCUACAAAUCCAACAUGUUGUGGGGUGGACGCUGUUUUUUAGUAGGGAGUUUAUUUUGUGCUGGGUAGCGGUAGCGAAGCGAUCGGUAUCGGUAUUUGGUCUUGAAAGAGGAAUUUGGUUAUGGUGUAUUGGAUGGGUCUCAACGGGAAAGUUUUCUCGAAAACCCCUCGAGGUUUCGAAGAUAGUAUCAAGAAUGUAUUUUCACUAAACUGAAGAAAUAUUGUAUAGGAAAUGCAGAAACUUGAAUAAAACCUACACAGUCAUCAAAGACAAGAUUGGGAAAACUGGAACCAGAACCAGGUUGAUGAAAUACAUAGGGAAAACAAUUAACCUCCCUAACCUAAUAACCUUGACAGCAGUUCCUGUUAUAAGAAAAAAGGCCCUUGCCUAAAAUAUGAAAGAUCCAUCCGCUAUCCCAGAUGGAAACCACUCCAAUCAAAGCAACUCCUGUAUACCGCUGUAGAAGUACCAGGGAGUCAAUGUUUGGAAUGUUUUAUCUAUGAAGAAAUCUGUCAAAUAUCGAGGAAGCUCGUAAGCAAGAAAAUCCAGAAAAAAAGAAAGAAAAUUUUGCACUUAUUAUGUAAAUUAUAAAAAAAGAUCAAUAAUUUAAAAAC
This is a long non-coding RNA of Cylas formicarius (sweet potato weevil), 805 nucleotides long. RefSeq lists it as uncharacterized. NCBI's taxonomy places the organism in Eukaryota, Metazoa, Arthropoda, Insecta, Coleoptera, Brentidae. The record is from RefSeq and is a predicted model, not a curated record. The transcript has 4 exons.